CAAAAGUCGUGCACGCCGGAGCAUGUCCUCUCUCUCACAUAAAAUCCAUCUCACCCUUUUGUGCACCACCGCGCGGGCACCCUUUGGGAUGCUUGCGUUUUCACACAAACCCCUUUUAAAAAAGUGUAGAAUGACCCCACUUUGCGAUGACACGCAAUAAAUACAACUUUCAACAACGGAUCUCUUGGCUCUCGCAUCGAUGAAGAACGCAGCGAAAUGCGAUACGUAAUGUGAAUUGCAGAAUUCAGUGAAUCAUCGAAUCUUUGAACGCACCUUGCGCCCCUUGGUAUUCCGAGGGGCACACCCGUUUGAGUGUCGUGAAAAUCUCAACCUUCUCGGUUUUCUUCUGGACACCGAAGGAGGCUUGGACUUUGGAGGCCUUUGCUGGCGUCUCUCUAGAGCCAGCUCCUCUUAAAUGAAUUAGCGGGGUCCUCUUUGCCGAUCCUUGACAUGUGAUAAGAUGUUUCCAUGACUCGGUUUCUGGCUCUGUUGCAUUUGGGACCUGCUUCUAACCGUCUCGACGAGACGAUGUUUGGGAGUGUCUCCCUUCUCGGGAGACUCUCUCGACCCCACGAACC
Molecule: ribosomal RNA, 578 nt
Filed under: Lactarius hatsudake
Lineage: Eukaryota; Fungi; Basidiomycota; Agaricomycetes; Russulales; Russulaceae
Description: eukaryotic LSU rRNA
Rfam family: 5.8S ribosomal RNA (bases 165-318)
Source: RNAcentral